RNAcentral lists this ribosomal RNA (216 nucleotides) under uncultured bacterium. RNAcentral's name for it is "partial 16S ribosomal RNA". It matches the Rfam family "Bacterial small subunit ribosomal RNA", at positions 1284 to 1500 of the family's 1533-position model. The record is from RNAcentral.
CAUCCCAGUUCGGAUUGCAGGCUGNAACCCGCCUGUAUGAAGUUGGAAUCGCUGUAAUCGCGGAUCAGCAUGCCGCGGUGAAUACGUUCCCGGGCCUUGUACACACCGCCCGUCACACCAUGAGAGUCGGGAACACCCGAAGUCCGUAGCCUAACCGCAAGGAGGGCGCGGCCGAAGGUGGGUUCGAUAAUUGGGGUGAAGUCGUAACAAGGUAUC